This 859-nucleotide ribosomal RNA is filed under the name uncultured bacterium. RNAcentral's name for it is "bacterial SSU rRNA". It matches the Rfam family "Bacterial small subunit ribosomal RNA", at positions 30 to 881 of the family's 1533-position model. The record is from RNAcentral.
UGAACGCUAGCUACAGGCUUAACACAUGCAAGUCGAGGGGCAGCGGGAUUGAAGCUUGCUUCAAUUGCCGGCGACCGGCGCACGGGUGAGUAACGCGUAUCCAACCUUCCGUACACUCAGGGAUAGCCUUUCGAAAGAAAGAUUAAUACCUGAUAGUAUCUUAAGCACACAUGUAAUUAAGAUUAAAGAUUUAUCGGUGUACGAUGGGGAUGCGUUCCAUUAGGUAGUAGGCGGGGUAACGGCCCACCUAGCCAACGAUGGAUAGGGGUUCUGAGAGGAAGGUCCCCCACAUUGGAACUGAGACACGGUCCAAACUCCUACGGGAGGCAGCAGUGAGGAAUAUUGGUCAAUGGACGAGAGUCUGAACCAGCCAAGUAGCGUGAAGGAUGAAGGUCCUACGGAUUGUAAACUUCUUUUAUAAGGGAAUAAACCCUCCCACGUGUGGGAGCUUGUAUGUACCUUAUGAAUAAGCAUCGGCUAACUCCGUGCCAGCAGCCGCGGUAAUACGGAGGAUGCGAGCGUUAUCCGGAUUUAUUGGGUUUAAAGGGAGCGCAGACGGGUCGUUAAGUCAGCUGUGAAAGUUUGGGGCUCAACCUUAAAAUUGCAGUUGAUACUGGCGUCCUUGAGUGCGGUUGAGGUGUGCGGAAUUCGUGGUGUAGCGGUGAAAUGCUUAGAUAUCACGAAGAACUCCGAUUGCGAAGGCAGCACACUAAUCCGUAACUGACGUUCAUGCUCGAAAGUGUGGGUAUCAAACAGGAUUAGAUACCCUGGUAGUCCACACGGUAAACGAUGGAUACUCGCUGUUGGCGAUAUACUGUCAGCGGCUUAGCGAAAGCGUUAAGUAUCCCACCUGGGGAGU